This 338-nucleotide unclassified non-coding RNA is filed under the name soil metagenome. RNAcentral's name for it is "partial contains 5.8S ribosomal RNA, internal transcribed spacer 2, and large subunit ribosomal RNA". The stretch from base 1 to 120 matches the Rfam family "5.8S ribosomal RNA", at positions 35 to 154 of the family's 154-position model. The record is from RNAcentral.
GAUGAAGAACGUAGCGAAAUGCGAUAAGUAAUGUGAAUUGCAGAAUUCCGUGAAUCAUCGAAUCUUUGAACGCACAUUGCGCCCCCUGGUAUUCCGGGGGGCAUGCCUGUCCGAGCGUCAUUGCAACCCUCAAGCGCGGCUUGUGUGUUGGGCUUCGUCCCCCCGUGGACGUGCCCGAAAGGCAGUGGCGGCGUCCCGAAUGGUGCCCGAGCGUAUGGGAACUCUCUUCCGCUCGAACCGGCCCAUUCGGCGCUGGUCGAACCCCAAUUUUUUUUUACCGGUUGACCUCGGAUCAGGUAGGGAUACCCGCUGAACUUAAGCAUACAAUAAGCGGAGGA